Molecule: ribosomal RNA, 497 nt
Filed under: uncultured bacterium
Lineage: Bacteria
Description: partial 16S ribosomal RNA
Rfam family: Bacterial small subunit ribosomal RNA
Source: RNAcentral
GAUGAACGCUGGCGGCGUGCCUAAUACAUGCAAGUCGAGCGAACGGACGUGAAGCUUGCUUCUCUGAUGUUAGCGGCGGACGGGUGAGUAACACGUGGAUAACCUACCUAUAAGACUGGGAUAACUUCGGGAAACCGGAGCUAAUACCGGAUAAUAUUUUGAACCGCAUGGUUCAAAAGUGAAAGGCGGUCUUGCUGUCACUUAUAGAUGGAUCCGCGCUGCAUUAGCUAGUUGGUAAGGUAACGGCUUACCAAGGCAACGAUGCAUAGCCGACCUGAGAGGGUGAUCGGCCACACUGGAACUGAGACACGGUCCAGACUCCUACGGGAGGCAGCAGUAGGGAAUCUUCCGCAAUGGGCGAAAGCCUGACGGAGCAACGCCGCGUGAGUGAUGAAGGUCUUCGGAUCGUAAAACUCUGUUAUUAGGGAAGAACAUAUGUGUAAGUAACUGUGCACAUCUUGACGGUACCUAAUCAGAAAGCCACGGCUAACUACGUG